GAUCCUGGCUCAGGAUGAACGCUAGCGACAGGCUUAACACACGCAAGUCGAGGGGCAGCGGGGUGUAGCAAUACACCGCCGGCGACCGGCGCACGGGUGAGUAACGCGUAUGCAACUUGCCUAUCAGAGGGGGAUAACCCGGCGAAAGUCGGGACUAAUACCGCAUGAAGCAGGGAUCCCGCAUGGGAAUAUUUGCUAAAGAUUCAUCGCUGAUAGAUAGGCAUGCGUUCCAUUAGG
RNAcentral lists this ribosomal RNA (237 nucleotides) under uncultured bacterium. Its description in RNAcentral is "partial 16S ribosomal RNA". It matches the Rfam family "Bacterial small subunit ribosomal RNA", at positions 15 to 245 of the family's 1533-position model. The record is from RNAcentral.